RNAcentral lists this transfer RNA (87 nucleotides) under Geobacter benzoatilyticus. RNAcentral's name for it is "Geobacter sp. Jerry-YX tRNA-Leu". It matches the Rfam family "tRNA". Rfam says of the family: Transfer RNA (tRNA) molecules are approximately 80 nucleotides in length. Their secondary structure includes four short double-helical elements and three loops (D, anti-codon, and T loops). The record is from RNAcentral. Lineage: Bacteria; Pseudomonadati; Thermodesulfobacteriota; Desulfuromonadia; Geobacterales; Geobacteraceae.
GCCCGGAUGGUGGAAUUGGUAGACACAAGGGACUUAAAAUCCCUCGGCGGCAACGCUGUGCGGGUCCGAGUCCCGCUCCGGGCACCA